This 755-nucleotide ribosomal RNA is filed under the name Escherichia coli. Its description in RNAcentral is "partial 23S ribosomal RNA". It matches the Rfam family "Bacterial large subunit ribosomal RNA", at positions 473 to 1230 of the family's 2925-position model. The record is from RNAcentral. Lineage: Bacteria; Pseudomonadati; Pseudomonadota; Gammaproteobacteria; Enterobacterales; Enterobacteriaceae.
CUCCUGACUGACCGAUAGUGAACCAGUACCGUGAGGGAAAGGCGAAAAGAACCCCGGCGAGGGGAGUGAAAAAGAACCUGAAACCGUGUACGUACAAGCAGUGGGAGCCUCUUUAUGGGGUGACUGCGUACCUUUUGUAUAAUGGGUCAGCGACUUAUAUUCUGUAGCAAGGUUAACCGAAUAGGGGAGCCGAAGGGAAACCGAGUCUUAACUGGGCGUUAAGUUGCAGGGUAUAGACCCGAAACCCGGUGAUCUAGCCAUGGGCAGGUUGAAGGUUGGGUAACACUAACUGGAGGACCGAACCGACUAAUGUUGAAAAAUUAGCGGAUGACUUGUGGCUGGGGGUGAAAGGCCAAUCAAACCGGGAGAUAGCUGGUUCUCCCCGAAAGCUAUUUAGGUAGCGCCUCGUGAAUUCAUCUCCGGGGGUAGAGCACUGUUUCGGCAAGGGGGUCAUCCCGACUUACCAACCCGAUGCAAACUGCGAAUACCGGAGAAUGUUAUCACGGGAGACACACGGCGGGUGCUAACGUCCGUCGUGAAGAGGGAAACAACCCAGACCGCCAGCUAAGGUCCCAAAGUCAUGGUUAAGUGGGAAACGAUGUGGGAAGGCCCAGACAGCCAGGAUGUUGGCUUAGAAGCAGCCAUCAUUUAAAGAAAGCGUAAUAGCUCACUGGUCGAGUCGGCCUGCGCGGAAGAUGUAACGGGGCUAAACCAUGCACCGAAGCUGCGGCAGCGACACUAUGUGUUGUUGGGUA